GGGUUGUGAGGUUAAGCGACUAAGCGUACACGGUGGAUGCCCUGGCAGUCAGAGGCGAUGAAGGACGUGCUAAUCUGCGAUAAGCGUCGGUAAGGUGAUAUGAACCGUUAUAACCGGCGAUUUCCGAAUGGGGAAACCCAGUGUGUUUCGACACACUAUCAUUAACUGAAUCCAUAGGUUAAUGAGGCGAACCGGGGGAACUGAAACAUCUAAGUACCCCGAGGAAAAGAAAUCAACCGAGAUUCCCCCAGUAGCGGCGAGCGAACGGGGAGCAGCCCAGAGCCUGAAUCAGUGUGUGUGUUAGUGGAAGCGUCUGGAAAGGCGCGCGAUACAGGGUGACAGCCCCGUACACAAAAAUGCACAUACUGUGAGCUCGAUGAGUAGGGCGGGACACGUGGUAUCCUGUCUGAAUAUGGGGGGACCAUCCUCCAAGGCUAAAUACUCCUGACUGACCGAUAGUGAACCAGUACCGUGAGGGAAAGGCGAAAAGAACCCCGGCGAGGGGAGUGAAAAAGAACCUGAAACCGUGUACGUACAAGCAGUGGGAGCACGCUUAGGCGUGUGACUGCGUACCUUUUGUAUAAUGGGUCAGCGACUUAUAUUCUGUAGCAAGGUUAACCGAAUAGGGGAGCCGAAGGGAAACCGAGUCUUAACUGGGCGUUAAGUUGCAGGGUAUAGACCCGAAACCCGGUGAUCUAGCCAUGGGCAGGUUGAAGGUUGGGUAACACUAACUGGAGGACCGAACCGACUAAUGUUGAAAAAUUAGCGGAUGACUUGUGGCUGGGGGUGAAAGGCCAAUCAAACCGGGAGAUAGCUGGUUCUCCCCGAAAGCUAUUUAGGUAGCGCCUCGUGAAUUCAUCUCCGGGGGUAGAGCACUGUUUCGGCAAGGGGGUCAUCCCGACUUACCAACCCGAUGCAAACUGCGAAUACCGGAGAAUGUUAUCACGGGAGACACACGGCGGGUGCUAACGUCCGUCGUGAAGAGGGAAACAACCCAGACCGCCAGCUAAGGUCCCAAAGUCAUGGUUAAGUGGGAAACGAUGUGGGAAGGCCCAGACAGCCAGGAUGUUGGCUUAGAAGCAGCCAUCAUUUAAAGAAAGCGUAAUAGCUCACUGGUCGAGUCGGCCUGCGCGGAAGAUGUAACGGGGCUAAACCAUGCACCGAAGCUGCGGCAGCGACGCUUAUGCGUUGUUGGGUAGGGGAGCGUUCUGUAAGCCUGCGAAGGUGUGCUGUGAGGCAUGCUGGAGGUAUCAGAAGUGCGAAUGCUGACAUAAGUAACGAUAAAGCGGGUGAAAAGCCCGCUCGCCGGAAGACCAAGGGUUCCUGUCCAACGUUAAUCGGGGCAGGGUGAGUCGACCCCUAAGGCGAGGCCGAAAGGCGUAGUCGAUGGGAAACAGGUUAAUAUUCCUGUACUUGGUGUUACUGCGAAGGGGGGACGGAGAAGGCUAUGUUGGCCGGGCGACGGUUGUCCCGGUUUAAGCGUGUAGGCUGGUUUUCCAGGCAAAUCCGGAAAAUCAAGGCUGAGGCGUGAUGACGAGGCACUACGGUGCUGAAGCAACAAAUGCCCUGCUUCCAGGAAAAGCCUCUAAGCAUCAGGUAACAUCAAAUCGUACCCCAAACCGACACAGGUGGUCAGGUAGAGAAUACCAAGGCGCUUGAGAGAACUCGGGUGAAGGAACUAGGCAAAAUGGUGCCGUAACUUCGGGAGAAGGCACGCUGAUAUGUAGGUGAAGUCCCUCGCGGAUGGAGCUGAAAUCAGUCGAAGAUACCAGCUGGCUGCAACUGUUUAUUAAAAACACAGCACUGUGCAAACACGAAAGUGGACGUAUACGGUGUGACGCCUGCCCGGUGCCGGAAGGUUAAUUGAUGGGGUCAGCGCAAGCGAAGCUCUUGAUCGAAGCCCCGGUAAACGGCGGCCGUAACUAUAACGGUCCUAAGGUAGCGAAAUUCCUUGUCGGGUAAGUUCCGACCUGCACGAAUGGCGUAAUGAUGGCCAGGCUGUCUCCACCCGAGACUCAGUGAAAUUGAACUCGCUGUGAAGAUGCAGUGUACCCGCGGCAAGACGGAAAGACCCCGUGAACCUUUACUAUAGCUUGACACUGAACAUUGAGCCUUGAUGUGUAGGAUAGGUGGGAGGCUUUGAAGUGUGGACGCCAGUCUGCAUGGAGCCGACCUUGAAAUACCACCCUUUAAUGUUUGAUGUUCUAACGUGGACCCGUGAUCCGGGUUGCGGACAGUGUCUGGUGGGUAGUUUGACUGGGGCGGUCUCCUCCUAAAGAGUAACGGAGGAGCACGAAGGUUGGCUAAUCCUGGUCGGACAUCAGGAGGUUAGUGCAAUGGCAUAAGCCAGCUUGACUGCGAGCGUGACGGCGCGAGCAGGUGCGAAAGCAGGUCAUAGUGAUCCGGUGGUUCUGAAUGGAAGGGCCAUCGCUCAACGGAUAAAAGGUACUCCGGGGAUAACAGGCUGAUACCGCCCAAGAGUUCAUAUCGACGGCGGUGUUUGGCACCUCGAUGUCGGCUCAUCACAUCCUGGGGCUGAAGUAGGUCCCAAGGGUAUGGCUGUUCGCCAUUUAAAGUGGUACGCGAGCUGGGUUUAGAACGUCGUGAGACAGUUCGGUCCCUAUCUGCCGUGGGCGCUGGAGAAUUGAGGGGGGCUGCUCCUAGUACGAGAGGACCGGAGUGGACGCAUCACUGGUGUUCGGGUUGUCAUGCCAAUGGCACUGCCCGGUAGCUAAAUGCGGAAGAGAUAAGUGCUGAAAGCAUCUAAGCACGAAACUUGCCCCGAGAUGAGUUCUCCCUGAC
This 2802-nucleotide ribosomal RNA is filed under the name Escherichia coli. Its description in RNAcentral is "bacterial LSU rRNA". It matches the Rfam family "Bacterial large subunit ribosomal RNA". The record is from RNAcentral. Lineage: Bacteria; Pseudomonadati; Pseudomonadota; Gammaproteobacteria; Enterobacterales; Enterobacteriaceae.